RNAcentral lists this ribosomal RNA (440 nucleotides) under uncultured bacterium. RNAcentral describes it as "partial 16S ribosomal RNA". It matches the Rfam family "Bacterial small subunit ribosomal RNA", at positions 338 to 795 of the family's 1533-position model. The record is from RNAcentral.
CCUACGGGAGGCAGCAGUGGGGAAUAUUGGACAAUGGGGGGAACCCUGAUCCAGCGACGCCGCGUGAGUGAAGAAGUAUUUCGGUAUGUAAAGCUCUAUCAGCAGGGAAGAAAAUGACGGUACCUGACUAAGAAGCCCCGGCUAACUACGUGCCAGCAGCCGCGGUAAUACGUAGGGGGCAAGCGUUAUCCGGAUUUACUGGGUGUAAAGGGAGCGUAGACGGUGCAGCAAGUCUGAUGUGAAAGGUCGGGGCCCAACCCCGGGACUGCAUUGGAAACUGUAUGGCUGGAGUGCAGGAGAGGUAAGUGGAAUUCCUAGUGUAGCGGUGAAAUGCGUAGAUAUUAGGAGGAACACCAGUGGCGAAGGCGGCUUACUGGACUGUAACUGACGUUGAGGCUCGAAAGCGUGGGGAGCAAACAGGAUUAGAUACCCCAGUAGUC